RNAcentral lists this long non-coding RNA (732 nucleotides) under Pan troglodytes (chimpanzee). Its description in RNAcentral is "lincRNA". Lineage: Eukaryota; Metazoa; Chordata; Mammalia; Primates; Hominidae. The record is from RNAcentral.
GAAUUCCCAGAGCUGUGCCAGUUUAAGGGCUACCCACAGGCAUCUCUAUGCUUUGCCAUUUGCCCCUGUAAGGAGUAAGGUCAGGAGUCCUGGAGAAGUCAAGCUCAAGUCAUCCUUUGUAAUGACACUAAAGCUCACUUUGAGUUCACUUCACACAGGCCAGUCACAACCGUUUAAUUCUGUCCUCACAGCCCAUCAGCAGGCACUGUGGUGUUUCUAUCUUACAGAGGAGGACGCCAGGGCUUACCCAACGCUAUCACCUUGCCAGAGUCGUGCUGCUGAAUGAUGGCAGAUCUGGGGUGCUGUCGUGGGUGUCUCUGUCUCCCUCCCACAUCCCGGUCUCUACCCACCAUACUCCCUGGAAGUGGAGAGCAAUCACAGAUCUGCUGGUUUCUUUCUCUGCACCUGGCAACCUCUGGAGGGCAAGGCCUGCACUUUUCCAGCUGUGACACCAGCCCAUGUGUCUCAUAUCAUUUCUCUCUUAUGUAGCAAGAAUUUCUCCCCAGAAAGGAGGCGGCAAAGAUGGGCAGGGGGUGCAAAGGUGGGGGCUCUGACAGCCAGGUUCCAGGGUGCGCUGCUGAGCAAGCCCACAACCAUGGUGAGGCAGGGAGAUUCCGUAGGACUCCGUAUCCGUGCUUUGAAGAUGGCUUUUGUGCUUUUAGUCUUUUCUUUGUUCAUUUGUUGUUUGUUUUCUGAUGAUGUUUUAGUAAAAAUUUCUUUUGAAAAUCCCAA